This 570-nucleotide ribosomal RNA is filed under the name uncultured Actinomycetes bacterium. Its description in RNAcentral is "bacterial SSU rRNA". It matches the Rfam family "Bacterial small subunit ribosomal RNA", at positions 337 to 918 of the family's 1533-position model. Lineage: Bacteria; Bacillati; Actinomycetota; Actinomycetes. The record is from RNAcentral.
UCCUACGGGAGGCAGCAGUGGGGAAUAUUGGGCAAUGGAGGGAACUCUGACCCAGCGACGCCGCGUGCGGGAUGAAGGCCUUCGGGUUGUAAACCGCUUUCAGCAAGGAAGAAGCGAAAGUGACGGUACUUGCAGAAGAAGCACCGGCUAACUAUGUGCCAGCAGCCGCGGUAAUACAUAGGGUGCAAGCGUUGUCCGGAAUUAUUGGGCGUAAAGAGCUCGUAGGUGGUUCGUCACGUCGGAUGUGAAAAUCUGGGGCUUAACCCCAGACCUGCAUUCGAUACGGGCGAGCUAGAGUGUGGUAGGGGAGACUGGAAUCCCUGGUGUAGCGGUGGAAUGCUCAGAUAUCAGGAGGAACACCAAUGGCGAAGGCAGGUCUCUGGGCCAUUACUGACACUGAGGAGCGAAAGCGUGGGGAGCGAACAGGAUUAGAUACCCUGGUAGUCCACGCCAUAAACGGUGGGCACUAGUUGUGGGAACCUUCCACGGUUUCUGCGACGCAGCUAACGCAUUAAGUGCCCCGCCUGGGGAGUACGAUCGCAAGAUUAAAACUCAAAGGAAUUGACGGGG